RNAcentral lists this ribosomal RNA (492 nucleotides) under uncultured bacterium. RNAcentral's name for it is "partial 16S ribosomal RNA". It matches the Rfam family "Bacterial small subunit ribosomal RNA", at positions 29 to 507 of the family's 1533-position model. The record is from RNAcentral.
AGUGAACGCUGGCGGUAGGCCUAACACAUGCAAGUCGAACGGCAGCACAGUAAGAGCUUGCUCUUACGGGUGGCGAGUGGCGGACGGGUGAGGAAUACAUCGGAAUCUACUUUUUCGUGGGGGAUAACGUAGGGAAACUUACGCUAAUACCGCAUACGACCUACGGGUGAAAGCAGGGGAUCUUCGGACCUUGCGCGAUUGAAUGAGCCGAUGUCGGAUUAGCUAGUUGGCGGGGUAAGGGCCCACCAAGGCGACGAUCCGUAGCUGGUCUGAGAGGAUGAUCAGCCACACUGGAACUGAGACACGGUCCAGACUCCUACGGGAGGCAGCAGUGGGGAAUAUUGGACAAUGGGCGCAAGCCUGAUCCAGCCAUACCGCGUGGGUGAAGAAGGCCUUCGGGUUGUAAAGCCCUUUUGCUGGGAAAGAAAAGCAGCAGGUUAAUACCCCGCUGUUCUGACGGUACCCAAAGAAUAAGCACCGGCUAACUUCGUG